CUGGAAGCUUACUUUCCUUUGUAUCUUUAUAUUCCCGAAGACAUGGAAGUACUCAAGGUUCCAAGGCCACUAUGCUUUCUACUUCUCAUGCUACUCCUCCCGGUUCCUGGCUCUGAAGCUAGGACAUGCAAUGUGGCCAGCCAUACCUAUAAAAGUUUACAAUGCAGGAAUGGUCCAUGUGCGGAGGCCUGCCAAAAGGAGGGCUGUACUGAUGGAUGGUGUCACCUUAUCCAGACCCCUGUGUUCCGUUGUUUAUGUAGGAAAGAGUGUUGAAUAAAAACACGUUACAACAACUGUAGGAUGUGUUGCAAAAAAAGUAAUUGCGUACUUUGAAUAAUUGAGGAUGAUGAGUCAAUAAAAUGUUGCUCUUAAAGA
This is a non-coding RNA of Lolium perenne, 375 nucleotides long. The record is from RefSeq and is a predicted model, not a curated record. NCBI's taxonomy places the organism in Eukaryota, Viridiplantae, Streptophyta, Magnoliopsida, Poales, Poaceae.